Long non-coding RNA from Oncorhynchus keta (chum salmon), 496 nucleotides. RefSeq lists it as uncharacterized. The transcript has 4 exons. The record is from RefSeq and is a predicted model, not a curated record. Lineage: Eukaryota; Metazoa; Chordata; Actinopteri; Salmoniformes; Salmonidae.
GCUGAAUACAACAGGUGUAGAGACCUCAGGGUGAAAUGCUGAAUACAACAGGUGUAGAGACCUUAGGGUGAAAUGCUGAAUACAACAGGUGUAGAGACCUUAGGGUUAAAUGCUGAAUACAACAGGUGUAGAGACCUUAGGGUGAAAUGCUGAAUACAACAGGUGUAGUAGACCUUAGGGUGAAAUGCUGAAUACAACAGGUGUAGAGACCUUAGGGUGAAAUGCUGAAUACAACAGGUGUAGAGACCUUAGGGUGAAAUGCUGAAUACAACAGGUGUAGAGACCUUAGGGUGAAAUGCUGAAUACAACAGGUGUAGAGACCUUAGGGUUAAAUGCUGAAUACAACAGGUGUAGAGACCUUAGGGUGAAAUGCUGAAUACAACAGGUGUAGAGACCUUAGGGUGAAAUGCUGAAUACAACAGGUGUAGAGACCUUAGGGUUAAAUGCUGAAUACAACAGGUGUAGAGACCUUAGGGUGAAAUGCUGAAUACAACAG